GAUGAACGCUGGCGGCGUGCCUAAUACAUGUAAGUCGAGCGAACGGACGAGAAGCUUGCUUCUCUGAUGUUAGCGGCGGACGGGUGAGUAACACGUGGAUAACCUACCUAUAAGACUGGGAUAACUUCGGGAAACCGGAGCUAAUACCGGAUAAUAUUUUGAACCGCAUGGUUCAAAAGUAAAAGACGGUCUUGCUGUCACUUAUAGAUGGAUCCGCGCUGCAUUAGCUAGUUGGUAAGGUAACGGCUUACCAAGGCAACGAUGCAUAGCCGACCUGAGAGGGUGAUCGGCCACACUGGAACUGAGACACGGUCCAGACUCCUACGGGAGGCAGCAGUAGGGAAUCUUCCGCAAUGGGCGAAAGCCUGACGGAGCAACGCCGCGUGAGUGAUGAAGGUCUUCGGAUCGUAAAACUCUGUUAUUAGGGAAGAACAUAUGUGUAAGUAACUGUGCACAUCUUGACGGUACCUAAUCAGAAAGCCACGGCUAACUACGUG
This 497-nucleotide ribosomal RNA is filed under the name uncultured bacterium. Its description in RNAcentral is "partial 16S ribosomal RNA". It matches the Rfam family "Bacterial small subunit ribosomal RNA", at positions 28 to 507 of the family's 1533-position model. The record is from RNAcentral.